AAAUUGAAAGCGAUUACGCACUAAGUUUCGACCUUAGCUUUGAAAAUUAUUUUCUCAGUUUA
This 62-nucleotide transfer RNA is filed under the name Bulinus truncatus. Its description in RNAcentral is "tRNA-Arg". The record is from RNAcentral. RNAcentral also lists the same sequence under 1 other name. Lineage: Eukaryota; Metazoa; Mollusca; Gastropoda; Planorbidae.